GAUGAACGCUGGCGGUAUGCUUAACACAUGCAAGUCGAACGGACUCUUCGGAGUUAGUGGCGGACGGGUGAGUAACGCGUGAGAAUCUGGCUUUGGGUUCGGGACAACCACUGGAAACGGUGGCUAGUACCGGAUGUGCCGAGAGGUAAAAGAGAAAUUGCCUGAAGAUGAGCUCGCGUCUGAUUAGCUAGUUGGUGAGGUAAAGGCUCACCAAGGCAGCGAUCAGUAGCUGGUCUGAGAGGAUGACCAGCCACACUGGGACUGAGACACGGCCCAGACUCCUACGGGAGGCAGCAGUGGAGAAUUUUCCGCAAUGGGCGAGAGCCUGACGGAGCAAUACCGCGUGGGGGAAGAAGGCUCUUGGGGUGUAAACCUCUUUUCUUAGGGAAGAACAAAAUGACGGUACCUAAGGAAUCAGCAUCGGCUAACUACGUG
RNAcentral lists this ribosomal RNA (435 nucleotides) under uncultured bacterium. Its description in RNAcentral is "partial 16S ribosomal RNA". It matches the Rfam family "Bacterial small subunit ribosomal RNA", at positions 28 to 507 of the family's 1533-position model. The record is from RNAcentral.